UACGGAGGGGGCAAGCGUUGUUCGGAAUUACUGGGCGUAAAGGGCGCGUAGGCGGCCUGCUCAGUCGAAUGUGAAAUCCCCGGGCUCAACCCGGGAACUGCGUCCGAUACUGGCAGGCUUGAAUCCGGGAGAGGGAUGUGGAAUUCCAGGUGUAGCGGUGAAAUGCGUAGAUAUCUGGAGGAAUACCGGUGGCGAAGGCGGCAUCCUGGACCAUUACUGACGCUGAAUCGCGAAAGCUAGGGGAGCAAACGGG
This 253-nucleotide ribosomal RNA is filed under the name uncultured bacterium. Its description in RNAcentral is "partial 16S ribosomal RNA". It matches the Rfam family "Bacterial small subunit ribosomal RNA", at positions 524 to 776 of the family's 1533-position model. The record is from RNAcentral.